Cylas formicarius (sweet potato weevil) is the source of this 1324-nucleotide long non-coding RNA. RefSeq lists it as uncharacterized. The record is from RefSeq and is a predicted model, not a curated record. Lineage: Eukaryota; Metazoa; Arthropoda; Insecta; Coleoptera; Brentidae. The transcript is spliced from 3 exons.
ACAGAAUACUUUUUUCAGUAGGGGAGAUCAAGAUAAGAGCGAAAAAGAAUGACCCGACGCCAGUGCUAGGCGUCGCUGACGUCGCGGCAGACUAAUGACGGGAAUUUAACAUGUUCCGAAUUGACAGACAGCUUAUCUUCGAUGACGUGAAAAAGGAUUUGUGAAUAUGCGAUAUGAACGUUCACUUCACUAUAGUCUAUGAAGGAAGCUGUAUUCACCAAUGUGCCAAACAUAAAAUCUACCAAAGUCCAUGAAACACGGCUAUUUGUGAAAAAAUAGAAUGCCUUCUAUUGUAAAGGAAAAGCCAAUGAAGUCAGACUGAUACGGCUACAGCUUUCGAAGUGUAUAAAGGCAAUAUAUUAUGGCUUAAACGUACAUCAUACAGCAUACCGAAGAAGCAUGGCGGCAGGGAUGGCUACUGCUAUCAAUGGAUUCCGAAAAACCGAAAUAUGGCCAGUCGAUAGAAAUGUAUUCAGUGAAGUCGAUUUUGCUCUUGCGGAUGUCCUAAUUGUACAGAAAAGUAGACAAGCAGAUGAAGAUUUGCCAUAGUAUGAAAAAGACAACAAUAUCCUGUUAAUCGAAUUUCUUAAAAAGAAUACAUGAAAUUAGAAUCAGAACCAUCUACAUCAGCAACGCCGAACUCUGGAUUAGGACUCCGGUCAUCCUUAAAGAUAGACACAGAUGUAGAAAUACCAGCACUAAGAAGCAGUUCCAGAAACACAAACAUCAACAUCAAAAUGUGGAUCCCACUCAUCUUCAAAUAUAAUUUCUCUCAAUAGUAUUGAAGAAAUUCUAGGUUACCCCCAAAUUGAUCGGGAUAAAAUUAAACAGACUCGUACUCAAAAGGUUGCUGUUAUCACAAUUAGUCCAUAUAAAGAGGAGUUAGAAGCUAUACAAAUAAAAAAAGCAAACAAAAAAUACGCGAGCGAGUGGUAUUAGCUUCAGGAGCAGUCGUGAUAUACAUGAUAUAUAUGAUGUGAUAUAUGAUGUACUGCCUUAAAUGUCGUGAAUGGGUUCAUGAAUCAUGUGCGCUAAUGCGCAAUCAAAAGACAUAUUUAUGUGUGACUUUUGUAUACCUAACUAAAUAUCUUUUACGUUUUUAAAAUGUCUCGCCAAUGUAUUUUUCUUCGUUAGUUGCUUAAUUUUGAGACUUAUAAUUUAAGAUACCGAUACUUGCUGGUCCAAUAUAGGUAACCUUCCCCUAUAUUAAAUACAAAUAUUGAGGGACUACUUCUUAAUUAUAUCCGAAUUCUAGAAACCAAAAAUUUUCAUCCACCUUUAUACUGAGCCAGGAAAAGAUGUAGUGAACGAACCAUGCUUGCAA